AGGAUGAACGCUGGCGGCGUGCCUAACACAUGCAAGUCGAACGUCCUGUCUCGCAAGAGGCAGGGAGUGGCGGACGGGUGAGUACCACGUGGGUCAUCUACCGUGAGGUGAGGAAUACCGGCGAGAAAUCGCCGACAAGACCGCAUAGGCUCGAUGCAAGUCGAGCAAAGCUCUUUCGAGAGAGGGAGCGCCACACGAGGAGCCUGCGCCCGAUUAGCUAGCUGGUGGAGUAACGGUUCACCAGGGCGACGAUCGGUAGCUGGUCUGAGAGGACGAUCAGCCACACUGGGAUUGAGAACGGCCCAGACUCCUACGGGGGGCAGCAGUGAGGAAUUUCGUCAAUGGGGGCAACCCUGAACGAGCAACGCCGCGUGCAGGAGAAGGUUUUCGGAUCGUAAACUGCUUUUCUCGGGGAAGAGAAUGGACGGUACCCGAGGAAUUAGCCCCGGCUAACUACGUGCCAGCAGCCGC
Molecule: ribosomal RNA, 471 nt
Filed under: uncultured bacterium
Lineage: Bacteria
Description: SSU rRNA
Rfam family: Bacterial small subunit ribosomal RNA
Source: RNAcentral